This 396-nucleotide long non-coding RNA is filed under the name Cavia porcellus (domestic guinea pig). RNAcentral describes it as "lncRNA (ENSCPOG00000030348.1)". Lineage: Eukaryota; Metazoa; Chordata; Mammalia; Rodentia; Caviidae. The record is from RNAcentral.
GUUUAUUCUCUGUUGUUUGCAUAUUUGGUUUGGAAGUUUCCUGGCAAGGCGGUAAUUUUUAUUUCUUUUCACAGCGUUUGUGUGGACGCUACCUCCUCACUCUUUCCCUGCCUCACAUUUUCCGGACUUUUCUUGCCAAGCCACAUCGACUUGUUUUUUCAUAGAAAAUUCCAGCAGCCAGCCAUCUCCCGCUGUCCUCACACCUGCUUGCCCUCCCGUUUUGCUACUGUUUAUGGAAUAACGUGAGCACCCCAUCCCGUGGGGAGGCUGAGCAAAUGUGGCUGCUUUACCAACUAUUCCCUUGAGCUUCCAACCACCAGAACUGGGAGGUAAAUAAGCUGCUUUUCUUCCAAACUAUCUAGUUUGCACCUACUUUGUCUUCCAGUAGAUUAAGCA